CAGGGAAUUAAUAUAGGGCAGAGGAAGGAGAUAGGGGGAAUUAAUGCAGGUCAGAGAAAGGAGAAAAAAGGAAAUAAAUAAAGGACAGAGGAAGGAAAAACAGGGAAUUAAUGAAGGGCAGAGAAAGGAGAAACAGGGAAUUAAUGAAGGGCAGAGGAAGGAGAAACAGGAAUUUAUGUAGGGGCAAAUGAGAAACAGGGAAUUAAUGAAGGGCAGAGGAAGAAGAAACAGGGAAUUAAUGCAGGGCAGAGGAAGGAGAAACAGGGAAUUAAUGCAGGUCAGAGGAAGGAGAAACAGGGAAUUUAUGUAGGGGCAAAGGAGAAACAGGGAAUUAAUGAAGGUCAGAGGAAGGAGAAACAGGGAAUUAAUGCAGGUCAGAGGAAGGAGAAACAGGGAAUUUAUGAGGGGCAAAGGAGAAACAGGGAAUUAAUGAAGGUCAGAGGAAGGAGAAACAGGGAAUUUAUGCAGGGCAGAGGAAGGAGAAACAGGUAAUUAAUGAAGGGCAGAGGAAGAAGAAACAGGGAAUUAAUGCAGGGCAGAGGAAGGAGAAACAGGGAAUUAAUGCAGGGCAGAGGAAGGAGAAACAGG
This is a long non-coding RNA of Oncorhynchus tshawytscha (Chinook salmon), 588 nucleotides long. NCBI's taxonomy places the organism in Eukaryota, Metazoa, Chordata, Actinopteri, Salmoniformes, Salmonidae. The record is from Ensembl.